ACGGGAGGCGGCAGUGAGGAAUAUUGGUCAAUGGGCGGAAGCCUGAACCAGCCAAGUCGCGUGAAGGAAGAAGGUAUUAUGUAUUGUAAACUUCUUUAGACGUAGAGAAAUAAGGGUGUCGUGACACCUGAUGCUAGUAUACGUAGAAUAAGGAUCGGCUAACUCCGUGCCAGCAGCCGCGGUAAUACGGAGGAUCCGAGCGUUAUCCGGAUUUAUUGGGUUUAAAGGGUGCGCAGGCGGCUUUUUAAGUCAGUGGUUAAAUCGUGAGGCUCAACCUCAUCACGCCAUUGAUACUGGAGAGCUUGAUUGCGUUUGAGGUGGGCGGAAUUCGCCGUGUAGCGGUGAAAUGCAUAGAUAUGGCGAAGAACUCCGAUUGCGUAGGCAGCUGACCAAGCCGUAAAUGACGCUCAUGCACGAAAGUGCGGGGAUCGAACAGGAUUAGAUACCCUGGUA
Molecule: ribosomal RNA, 453 nt
Filed under: uncultured Sphingobacterium sp.
Lineage: Bacteria; Pseudomonadati; Bacteroidota; Sphingobacteriia; Sphingobacteriales; Sphingobacteriaceae
Description: partial 16S ribosomal RNA
Rfam family: Bacterial small subunit ribosomal RNA
Source: RNAcentral